AUUGAACGCUGGCGGCAGGCCUAACACAUGCAAGUCGAACGGUAACAGGAAGAAGCUUGCUUCUUUGCUGACGAGUGGCGGACGGGUGAGUAAUGUCUGGGAAACUGCCUGAUGGAGGGGGAUAACUACUGGAAACGGUAGCUAAUACCGCAUAACGUCGCAAGACCAAAAAAGGGGGACCUUCGGGCCUCUUGCCAUCGGAUGUGCCCAGAUGGGAUUAGCUAGUAGGUGGGGUAACGGCUCACCUAGGCGACGAUCCCUAGCUGGUCUGAGAGGAUGACCAGCCACACUGGAACUGAGACACGGUCCAGACUCCUACGGGAGGCAGCAGUGGGGAAUAUUGCACAAUGGGCGCAAGCCUGAUGCAGCCAUGCCGCGUGU
This 381-nucleotide ribosomal RNA is filed under the name uncultured bacterium. Its description in RNAcentral is "bacterial SSU rRNA". It matches the Rfam family "Bacterial small subunit ribosomal RNA", at positions 30 to 404 of the family's 1533-position model. The record is from RNAcentral.